CAGGAGUGAAGCAUCUGUGUGGUUUCCUGGAGAGUCCAGGAUGUGGACUUGAAGCUCUGAGAUUGAAGGAGUGUGGUUUGUCAGAGAUCAGCUGUGAUUAUCUGGCAACAGCACUGAAGUCCAACCCCUGCCAUCUGAGACUGCUGGACCUGAGCUUCAACAACAAGCUGCAGGAUUCAGGAGUGAAGCAUCUGUGUGGUUUUCUGGAGAGUCCAGGAUGUGGACUUGAAACUCUGGGAUUGUGGGGCUGUGGUUUGUCAGAGAUCAGCUGUGAUUAUCUGGCAGCAGCACUGAAGUCCAACCCCUCCCAUCUGAGAGAGCUGGAGCUGUGGGACAACAACCUGAAGGAUCCAGAUGUGAAGCAGCUGUCUGAUCUUCAGCAGAGUCCAGACUACAGACUGGAGAAACUGGUGUGGAGGAAAUGAUGGUAAACAGGACGGUGUGUGUGCUGAGAGAGGAGGAGCUGUGUCCUGA
Oreochromis aureus is the source of this 474-nucleotide long non-coding RNA. RefSeq lists it as uncharacterized. The record is from RefSeq and is a predicted model, not a curated record. The transcript has 4 exons. NCBI's taxonomy places the organism in Eukaryota, Metazoa, Chordata, Actinopteri, Cichliformes, Cichlidae.